GAGGGGCAGCAGGGUGUAGCAAUACAUCGCUGGCGACCGGCAAGCGGGUGCGGAACACGUACGCAACCUUCCUUCAAGUGGGGAAUAGCCCGGGGAAACCCGGAUUAAUACCCCGUAAUAUUAUGAGGCGGCAUCACCUUAUAAUUAUAGUUCCGACGCUUGAAGAUGGGCGUGCGCCUGAUUAGGUAGUUGGCGGGGUAACGGCCCACCAAGCCUACGAUCAGUAACUGGUGUGAGAGCACGACCAGUCACACGGGCACUGAGACACGGGCCCGACUCCUACGGGAGGCAGCAGUAAGGAAUAUUGGUCAAUGGACGCAAGUCUGAACCAGCCAUGCCGCGUGGAGGAUGAAGGUCCUCUGGAUUGUAAACUUCUUUUAUCUGGGAAGAAACCCAUAUUUUCUAGUGUGGUUGACGGUACCAGAUGAAUAAGCACCGGCUAACUCCGUGCCAGCAGCCGCGGUAAUACGGAGGGUGCAAGCGUUAUCCGGAUUCACUGGGUUUAAAGGGUGCGUAGGCGGGUUGAUAAGUCCGUGGUGAAAUCUCC
Molecule: ribosomal RNA, 547 nt
Filed under: uncultured bacterium
Lineage: Bacteria
Description: bacterial SSU rRNA
Rfam family: Bacterial small subunit ribosomal RNA
Source: RNAcentral